CCCUGGGUGGCUCAGUCAGUUGAGCAUCUGACUCUUGAUUUCAGCUCAGGUCAUGAUCUCAGGGUCGUGGGAUCGAGCCCCGCCUCAGGCU
Molecule: transfer RNA, 91 nt
Filed under: Ailuropoda melanoleuca (giant panda)
Lineage: Eukaryota; Metazoa; Chordata; Mammalia; Carnivora; Ursidae
Rfam family: tRNA
About the family: Transfer RNA (tRNA) molecules are approximately 80 nucleotides in length. Their secondary structure includes four short double-helical elements and three loops (D, anti-codon, and T loops).
Source: Rfam by way of RNAcentral